Molecule: ribosomal RNA, 200 nt
Filed under: uncultured prokaryote
Description: partial 16S ribosomal RNA
Rfam family: Bacterial small subunit ribosomal RNA
Source: RNAcentral
CGUCAAAUCAUCAUGCCCCUUAUGGCCUGGGCUACACACGUGCUACAAUGGUGGCAACAAAGGGAAGCGACCCCGCGAGGGCGAGCAAAUCCCGGAAAAGCCAUCCCAGUUCGGAUUGUAGUCUGCAACCCGACUACAUGAAGCCGGAAUCGCUAGUAAUCGCAGAUCAGCAUGCUGCGGUGAAUACGUUCCCGGGUCUU